Non-coding RNA from Paramuricea clavata, 1872 nucleotides. The record is from the annotation of a GenBank genome assembly. NCBI's taxonomy places the organism in Eukaryota, Metazoa, Cnidaria, Anthozoa, Malacalcyonacea, Plexauridae.
CAGAUUGUCCACGACCAAAUUUUACCUGUCGUGGUUGUACGACGGCUGUUACAUCGACCUGGUUUUUUAUCAUGUAAGUUUAAAAAAAUAGAGGUUACUGGAAAUAUCCCUUAUUCUCAGCCUGACUGAUAUAGUUAUACACCCUUUUCAUAAAUGGCUGCCGAUUAAAAAUUCUUUUAUGUGCAUAUAAAUUGGCCCAAUUAACUAGCCUCGUACUCGUGUUAAGAUUUCAAACGAAUUUCUACCCAGAAACGAGGCUAGUUGGGCCAAUUUAUAUGCACAUAAAAGAAUUUUUAAUUGGCAGCCAUUUAUGAAAAGGGUGUAUUAGUUAGUUCUUCUACCGCUUAUGUAAAGCUUAUUUUACAUUGACAAUAAAGAUAUGUAUAUGUUCCGAUACAGUUGCAGUAUGAAACAGUUUAAACAGGCUUCAUCAUAGACAGUUCGUAAUUAAAUUUUAGCCCCCCCCCCCCCUACAUCCGAAUAAAAAAACUCGUCCACAGCCUAUGUCUGAAGUAUAUAUAGGUAUAUCAGUUUAUAUCUUCGAUUUGAUUCCUUCAUGAAAACCUAUAUAAAUUCAAUAAAUAAUAAUGUUGAGGCAAUUCAUGAAUAUAAUGGUACGUACUAGUACUAGUACUACGCUAAAUGUAUAAUUCUUCAAAUAGUCCAGGGUCAUAUUAUAUUGGAACUUAAAUUGCUCAUCAUGCAGUUGCGUUUUAUGGGCAACACGAUAAAAAAGUUGAUGAAUUUUAAAAUUUACACAAGAAAUUUCCAACAAAGUGAUCUAAAGACAUUGCAUGCAGUCCUCGCUGAUUCAUUCGAUUUAUUUAUUAUCUAUAAUUAUUCGCUCUUGUUUCUUUAGAACGUUGGGCAGCACCAUUAAAUUAUUCGUUGGUUGGUAAAGAAUGUAAUGGUUCAAACUGUAUUAUAAGGAUUGCAAGUUUUAUACAACAUUUUUUUACGCUUUCGAUGUCCGCAACUUUUGGUUUUAUAGUAUAUCCAGGCAUCCAGCCAAGUUUUGCGUCAUUAUUUAUUUUAUAUAGUAUAUAUAUGUAGCAUAUUUUACGAUAAACCAAUCACGGAAAAUCAAUCAUGGCUUUAUUAAGCCAUCAUCUACAUUUGUCAUUUAUAGUCUUUAUACACGCGUAAAAUUGUAAAAAUCUCAAGUCUGUCAACAAAUUGUGCUCGCACUGCUUGUACGAAGUUGUCAACAAGUUUGAAACAAGCUUUUAGCAACGCUAUAACUUGUAACAACUUUGUUGAUUUUAUCAGACUUGUUGCGGCAAGGUUGUUCCAACAAGUCCGAUACAGUCAUAAUAUAAGCAUACUGUUACAACCUCGUGUGGUCGACCUUGUAACAUUCUUGUCCAUGACUGUAUCAGACUUGUUAGAACAAUCUUGCAGGUAACAAGUCUGUAAUGUAAUCUUGCAGGUAACAUGUCAAGUAAUGCCAUCAAGCUUGUUACAGGUUGUUAACAGCUUGUUCCAAACUUGUUACAACAACUGGUGAAACAAGCAGUGCGAACACAACUUGUCGACAGCUUGUGAACGGAUUUGUAACAACUUGUGCGUUUUUAUACCUGUUACUCUUUAUGAAUCACGAUUUAGAGGCAUUGACUAUUUUUAGAUUUUUAUGCUCUAUCGUAUAAUUCAAUUAAAAUUGUUGAAGAGAGGUAGUAGCCGAGUUUUUUUAAUCAACUUCGCAGUGUUUCCAAUCAGAUGAUAAACUGCUGACAUUAAUUUAAAAAAUACAUAAACUUCCGGAUCGAAAGCUUUACAUAAAUGUGUUGUAUUCUACAAAAACAAGUCAAUUAUAUUAUGAUUGUCAUCAUGCCACUGAUAGCUAUUUGAACUAUCUAAAAUAUCAUAAUUUAG